This 253-nucleotide ribosomal RNA is filed under the name uncultured bacterium. RNAcentral describes it as "partial 16S ribosomal RNA". It matches the Rfam family "Bacterial small subunit ribosomal RNA", at positions 524 to 776 of the family's 1533-position model. The record is from RNAcentral.
UACGUAGGUGGCAAGCGUUGUCCGGAAUUAUUGGGCGUAAAGCGCGCGCAGGCGGUCCUUUAAGUCUGUUGUGAAAGCCCACGGCUCAACCGUGGAGGGUCAUUGGAAACUGGGGGACUUGAGUACAGAAGAGAAGAGUGGAAUUCCACGUGUAGCGGUGAAAUGCGUAGAGAUGUGGAGGAACACCAGUGGCGAAGGCGACUCUUUGGUCUGUAACUGACGCUGAGGCGCGAAAGCGUGGGGAGCAAACAGG